CGUGUUACUCAAAAUCCUAUCUAAAAAAUUAUUAAGAUUACGUAAAGAUAGAAAAUCUGAAAAGAAAAAAAAAAUCGAAGCAAUCGGAAAGAAAAUGGCGAUGAUAGUACGAUUGCUUAACAAUCGCAGCAAUCCCUGCCGCGGUCGCUGCCGAGUUCUUCUCGAUCAUCUGAAGCUUCGUCCUUGUAAUUUUAUCCAAACCCAAACCCUAAGUUCUACCGGUCCUCACCGUUUUCACCACCAACUCCUUCCACUGAGAUACCCGCGUUCGAACCAACUUCCCAGCAUCACCGAGACCUCUUUUCCACAGGAGUUAUUCGGUCGUUGCGAGAUUGCAUGCACGAAUUAAGCCGUAGGCACAAUGGAAUGCAUUCUAUUAAAUCCAUACUUAGGUAAUUUUUUUUCUCUGUUUGAUGGUUUGUUUGUGUAGUUUUGUGUAAAUUGUGAAUUGUUUAUUUAUUUGUAUAGAGGCCUAUUCAAGCACUACUAUUCUAUUGAUAUUUCUGUUGAUUCCAUCAUAUACAACAACAAAGCUUUUGAAUUGACUUGCACUGAUACUUCAAAUUAUGACAUCCGAAUAGAUUUUGCUACACUUGGAGCUAUGGUCUUUUGGAUUUCUCAAGACAUUAAGUUAGAGGAUUAUGAAUAUCAAGAGUUUCAACACUUGUUUUCAUUAAGACUUACGAUAUAUAAUUCUUGCAGAUCUUACUAUAUUCUCCCACUCUUUCAUUUUCUAAAAUGAGAAACCGUUACUGUCAGUGAACUUAUUCUAAGUUCAUUGGCAGCGGUCCAAUUGAUUGCUCAAGGGGUUAGCCCAACUCACAAUUGGAAAAUUAGUUUACAACUAGCUAUUGGACAAUCUAAAUAUAAUGAUUGGACCAGCAUGGUAAUCAAAUUUUGCAACUUCAAGGAAGACAGUGCCUGAGAUUUCCGAAGAUUUAGUCGAAUUUUGGUGUUCCACACCUGCGACGAAUUUUACAUGUGUUGUUUGUUGUUGAACUUUAAACUUUUAAAUUUUGUUUAAUAUUUUUCCUUUUGUUUUUUUAAUUGUCUUUGACUGACGUUGAACUUGACGUAGCCUUCAGUCAGGCUUACCCUGGGUUCUUACAUGUCCUUUUCGAAGUAGUUUUCCAAGUCAAACAAUACCCAGUGGACAUCAACGUGGAGUUUCGAGUAAGUUAUUAGAUUCAUGUCAUAUACUUAUUAGUGAUUUGGUAGAAGAUAUGUUGAGAAUUCACAGGUCAGCGAGAGUUUGUUGCUCAUGAAGUUGUACUCCUUGUCAUCUGGUGUUGUGAAUCACUUGUUGUCUGACCACGAGGGUAGAGAGUUGGAUCUUCCAUUUGAAGUUACUGACCAGGGAAUGGAGAUUAUCCUUUACCAGAGAAGUACCUUUAUACUUGGGACGGUUGGGAACAGGGAAAACCACAGUUUUAAGUUUUAACCAUGAAAUGAUUUCAAAAAGAACAAUGUUUUCAGUUGGCAGAGCAAGGAUGCCUUGGUAGUAAAAAUAGCACUGUUGAGCAGAGUUCUUCAGCUACUCAGGAAAGAAAUCUACGCCAGAUUCUUGUGACCGUGAAGCAACAUGUUCUACACUUGAAAAGUUUUGCAUGUGGUGGAAGCGAUUCAACCGAGAAAAGUUUGAUUGAUAUGGCUGAUUUUGAUGAGGAGGAAUCUCAAUUCAAGGAUAUCAAGGAUUCAUUUCAGGAUAUUUCUCCCAAAUCUUACCCUCUUGUAAUAACAUUUCAUAAGUUCUUGAUGAUGCUUGAUGGAACACUCAGUAAUUCAUGCCUUGAGGCUUGAUCGAUUCGUGGAUGCUGGAACACUUAGUCCCGGUCAAUUGAGAUUUUAGAGGCUCAAGAUCCAUUGCAUUGCAGACGAGAGAAGUAACCUACGAUGUUUUUCAGGCUUAUUAAAAAAAUGAAGAUGGAAAAUGGUGAAUUUGAUAUGGCUGAUUUUGUAAUUGAUCUUCAUCGUCAUCGUCUGAGGCAUGGAAAAUUUGUGCGUGAUCAAAUGGAUUUUGUUUACAUUGAUGAGGUUCAGGAUCUCAGAGCGAGUCAAAUUGCUCUGUUUAAGUAUGUGUGUAACAAUGUUGAAGAAGCAAUUCAAGUGCUGCAUAACACCACCUGGUUUAUAUUUGCUAAAAUAGGUCAAAAUUUGCUCGAU
Molecule: long non-coding RNA, 2163 nt
Organism: Pyrus x bretschneideri (Chinese white pear)
Lineage: Eukaryota; Viridiplantae; Streptophyta; Magnoliopsida; Rosales; Rosaceae
Exons: 3
Source: RefSeq, a predicted model, not a curated record